Molecule: long non-coding RNA, 1220 nt
Filed under: Cercocebus atys (sooty mangabey)
Lineage: Eukaryota; Metazoa; Chordata; Mammalia; Primates; Cercopithecidae
Description: lncRNA (ENSCATG00000045543.1)
Source: RNAcentral
GUUGAAUAGAUAAAAUGUUCUUGAAAAUAUAUUUUGAGAUUUCAAACACAAUUAGAAUAUUUGACUAAAUGAAAUCUCUUUCUUGAGUUUGUUGAUGCUGAUAUUUAUAUGUAUUUGUUUUCUUGCUCUUUAAACUACUCACUCUAGCAUUUCUUAUAAAUAGUUAUGAAUAACUAUUUAUUAGUCACUUUAGUAUCAACUAUUUAUGAAUAAGUAAGAGAGUAUCUAGCAUGAAAAGUCAUAAAGUUAUAAUUUAAAUGACAAAAUGUGUGCUUUGGUUUGCCAUCUUGAAUUAAAAUAGCUGUUCAUAAAAGUUUUCAAAUGGGCAAUAACAGUUUUCUGUUCUUGUUCACAAAUUUUGGUAAAAAUGAAAGUGGUGUGGUGGCUCAUGUCUGUAAUUCUAGCACUUUGGGAGGCCAAGGCAGGCGAUCAUCUGAGGGCAGGAAUUUGAGACCAGCGUGGCCAACAUGAUGAAACCCCAUCUCUACUAAAAAUACAAAAUAAAUUAUCAGGGCAUAGUGGCAUGCUUCUGUAAUCCCAGCUACUUGAGAGGCUGAGGUGGGAGAAUUGCUUGAACCCAGGAGGUGGAGGUUGCACUGAGCCAAGAUUACACCACUGCACUGCAGCCUGGGCGACAGGCAGAGACUCUGUCUAUAAAAAACAAAAAAAAAAAAAGAAGAAAAGACAAGGGGCUAUGCCAAUCAACCUCUCAAAAACACUAACCUUCUUAUAACUGUCAGCCAAGCAUGCUAUUGUGGGUACUGGAAUUCUCUGAUUAUUGAACUAACCAUGUUCUUAAUGCAUUUCGUUAGGAACAGCAUCCAGCUGUGGCAAAAGAGAACAUUAACUGUAACUUGAAGACUGAAUCCAAGAUGAUGGUACUCCUUCCAGCCCAGGAUUUUUGCUUCAGAGGCACCUGCUGCAACUCAUUUUUGCGGAUGAAGAGUUUGAGGCUUCAGAUGAGGUGAAUGGCUUGGAAAACCACAGGGAGAAGGAGCACAGUAAGAACCUGACCCAUAGCAAGUGUCUAACAAACAUUUGGCUGUCAGUACUGGCGCUCCCCAGCUGGUGUUAUUUUUCAUAUGUGAGCAGACUAAUUCAGAGUAUUAUUUUAGGCAACAAAUACUUGAAUACUUGUAUGUCCAAGGUGCCAGGGUUACAGGGAAUUAACUAGAUAAAGUCUCUGGCCUUACUGGGCUUACAUUAUAUAGAAAGGCAAG